Molecule: ribosomal RNA, 497 nt
Filed under: uncultured bacterium
Lineage: Bacteria
Description: partial 16S ribosomal RNA
Rfam family: Bacterial small subunit ribosomal RNA
Source: RNAcentral
GAUGAACGCUGGCGGCGUGCCUAAUACAUGCAAGUCGAGCGAACGGACGAGAAGCUUGCUUCUCUGAUGUUAGCGGCGGACGGGUGAGUAACACGUGGAUAACCUACCUAUAAGACUUGGAUAACUUCGGGAAACCGGAGCUAAUACCGGAUAAUAUUUUGAACCGCAUGGUUCAAAAGUGAAAGACGGUCUUGCUGUCACUUAUAGAUGGAUCCGCGCUGCAUUAGCUAGUUGGUAAGGUAACGGCUUACCAAGGCAACGAUGCAUAGCCGACCUGAGAGGGUGAUCGGCCACACUGGAACUGAGACACGGUCCAGACUCCUACGGGAGGCAGCAGUAGGGAAUCUUCCGCAAUGGGCGAAAGCCUGACGGAGCAACGCCGCGUGAGUGAUGAAGGUCUUCGGAUCGUAAAACUCUGUUAUUAGGGAAGAACAUAUGUGUAAGUAACUGUGCACAUCUUGACGGUACAUAAUCAGAAAGCCACGGCUAACUACGUG